AAGUAGCCGGUGGACCUCUCUCGA
This 24-nucleotide non-coding RNA is filed under the name Arabidopsis thaliana (thale cress). The record is from RNAcentral. Lineage: Eukaryota; Viridiplantae; Streptophyta; Magnoliopsida; Brassicales; Brassicaceae.